RNAcentral lists this ribosomal RNA (374 nucleotides) under uncultured bacterium. Its description in RNAcentral is "bacterial SSU rRNA". It matches the Rfam family "Bacterial small subunit ribosomal RNA", at positions 521 to 896 of the family's 1533-position model. The record is from RNAcentral.
UAAUACGGAGGGUGCAAGCGUUAUCCGGAUUUACUGGGUUUAAAGGGUGUGUAGGCGGGUCUAUAAGUCAGUGGUGAAAUCUCCGGGCUCAACCCGGAAACUGCCAUUGAUACUAUAGGUCUUGAAUAUUGUGGAGGUGGGCGGAAUGUGUCAUGUAGCGGUGAAAUGCUUAGAGAUGACACAGAACACCGAUUGCGAAGGCAGCCCACUACGCAACUAUUGACGCUGAGGCACGAAAGCGUGGGGAUCAAACAGGAUUAGAUACCCUGGUAGUCCACGCCCUAAACGAUGAUUACUCGACAUCAGCGAUAAGACUGUUGGUGUCUGAGCGAAAGCAUUAAGUAAUCCACCUGGGAAGUACGAUCGCAAGAUUG